ACUCCUACGGGAGGCAGCAGUGGGGAAUAUUGGACAAUGGGCGCAAGCCUGAUCCAGCCAUGCCGCGUGAGUGAUGAAGGCCUUAGGGUUGUAAAGCUCUUUUGUCCGGGAAGAUAAUGACUGUACCGGAAGAAUAAGCCCCGGCUAACUUCGUGCCAGCAGCCGCGGUAAU
Molecule: ribosomal RNA, 172 nt
Filed under: uncultured soil bacterium
Lineage: Bacteria
Description: partial 16S ribosomal RNA
Rfam family: Bacterial small subunit ribosomal RNA
Source: RNAcentral